UGGGGAAUAUUGGGCAAUGGGGGAAACCCUGACCCAGCGACGCCGCGUGAGGGAAGAAGGUUUUCGGAUUGUAAACCUCUGUCCUUGGUGACGAUAAUGACGGUAGCCAAGGAGGAAGCCACGGCUAACUACGUGCCAGCAGCCGCGGUAAUACGUAGGUGGCGAGCGUUGUCCGGAAUUACUGGGUGUAAAGGGAGCGUAGGCGGGAGAGCAAGUCGACUGUGAAAGCUAUGGGCUUAACCCAUAGAUGCGAUCGAAACUGUUCAUCUUGAGUGAAGUAGAGGCAGGCGGAAUUCCUAGUGUAGCGGUGAAAUGCGUAAAUAUUAGGAGGAACACCAGUGGCAAGGCGGCCUGCUGGGCUUUUAACUGACGCUGAGGCUCGAAAGCGUGGGUAGCAAACAGGAUUAGAUACCC
This 414-nucleotide ribosomal RNA is filed under the name uncultured bacterium. RNAcentral's name for it is "bacterial SSU rRNA". It matches the Rfam family "Bacterial small subunit ribosomal RNA", at positions 355 to 787 of the family's 1533-position model. The record is from RNAcentral.